UGGGGAAUAUUGGACAAUGGGGGCAACCCUGAUCCAGCGAUGCCGCGUGGGUGAAGAAGGCCUUCGGGUUGUAAAGCCCUUUAGAUUGGGAAGAAGUGUAUCUGGUGAAUAGCCAGGUAUGUUGACGGUACCGAUAGAAUAAGCACCGGCAAACUCUGUGCCAGCAGCCGCGGUAAUACAGAGGGUGCGAGCGUUAAUCGGAGUUACUGGGCGUAAAGGGCGCGUAGGCGGUAAGAUGUGUGUGAUGUGAAAGCCCCGGGCUUAACCUGGGAAGUGCAUCGCAAACUAUUUAACUAGAGUAUAUGAGAGGGUGGCGGAAUUUCCGGUGUAGCGGUGAAAUGCGUAGAGAUCGGAAGGAACGUCAAUGGCGAAGGCAGCCACCUGGCAUAAUACUGACGCUGAGGCGCGAAAGCGUGGGGAGCGAACAGG
RNAcentral lists this ribosomal RNA (429 nucleotides) under uncultured bacterium. Its description in RNAcentral is "bacterial SSU rRNA". It matches the Rfam family "Bacterial small subunit ribosomal RNA", at positions 355 to 776 of the family's 1533-position model. The record is from RNAcentral.